RNAcentral lists this non-coding RNA (951 nucleotides) under Gephyrocharax atracaudatus. RNAcentral describes it as "12S ribosomal RNA". It matches the Rfam family "Bacterial small subunit ribosomal RNA". Lineage: Eukaryota; Metazoa; Chordata; Actinopteri; Characiformes; Stevardiidae. The record is from RNAcentral.
CAAAGGCCUGGUCCCGACUUUACUAUCAGCUUUAGCCCAACUUAUACAUGCAAGUAUCCGCACCCCUGUGAGAAUGCCCUCAAUCCCCCACCCGGGGACGAGGAGCCGGCAUCAGGCACACCCCUAUUUUGGCCCAAGACGCCUUGCUUCGCCACACCCCUAAGGGAACUCAGCAGUAAUAAACAUUAAGCCAUAAGUGAAAACUUGACUUAAUUAGGGCUACUUAGGGUCGGUAAAACUCGUGCCAGCCACCGCGGUUAUACGAGAGACCCUAGUUGAUAAACACGGCGUAAAGAGUGGUUAAGGAUAAAAACAAAUAAAGUCAAACAAUCUCUUAGCUGUUAUACGCAUUAUGAGAACAUGAAGCCCCCCUACGAAAGUAACUUUACUAUUACCUGACCCCACGAAAGCUAAGAAACAAACUGGGAUUAGAUACCCCACUAUGCUUAGCCGUAAACCUAGAUGUUAAUUUUACAAAAACAUCCGCCAGGGUACUACAAGCGCCAGCUUAAAACCCAAAGGACUUGACGGUGUCUCAGACCCACCUAGAGGAGCCUGUUCUAGAACCGAUAAUCCACGUUAAACCUCACCACCCCUUGUCUUCCCCGCCUAUAUACCGCCGUCGCAAGCUUACCCUGUGAAGGAUAAACAGUAAGCAAAAUGGGUAUCUCCCAGAACGUCAGGUCGAGGUGUAGCUUACGGGGUGGAAAGAAAUGGGCUACAUUUUCUACACCAGAAUAUACGAAUGAUACUAUGAAAUUAGUACCUGAAGGUGGAUUUAGUAGUAAAAAUCAAAUAGAGAGUCAUUUUGAAAUUAGGCUCUGAGACGCGCACACACCGCCCGUCGCCCUCCCCAACUUUGAACCAAAUAAGUAAUUAACCAACUAAUUAACAUUAACGGGGAGAUAAGUCGUAACAUGGUAAGUGUACCGGAAGGUGCACUUGGAACAU